UUAACCUUUCUCCAUUCCCCACUGAGUUUGUCUCCUCGUGGAUGAUUGUUAUUUCAGUUUCCUCUCCAGCAAAUUUUCUGGAUGGAAUUACUCCCCUUGAGUUAUGUCCUCAUUGGGUUGAGUCUUGAUUGACCAUUUUCUUUCUAGCUCUUACCUAUAUAGAUAUUUUGGUCCCCUAAGAGUCUAUUACCCAGUAACAAGUAAUAUUCUUCUUAGUUUGCAGUUUGUUACUUCUUGCCCAAUACCCGGAGAAAGUAGCCUUUUUUCUCCUCAGUAGAAUCCCCAAUGGAUCUAUUCCCCGCAGGAGUCUAUCUUUGAUAUGUUCACUUUAACCAGUGACGGAUAUUCUCACUUUUG
This 357-nucleotide long non-coding RNA is filed under the name Lathyrus oleraceus (garden pea). RNAcentral describes it as "Pisum sativum (pea) long non-coding RNA (PSAT_LNC024661)". Lineage: Eukaryota; Viridiplantae; Streptophyta; Magnoliopsida; Fabales; Fabaceae. The record is from RNAcentral.